Non-coding RNA from Tolypothrix sp. PCC 7601, 60 nucleotides. NCBI's taxonomy places the organism in Bacteria, Bacillati, Cyanobacteriota, Cyanophyceae, Nostocales, Tolypothrichaceae. The record is from Rfam.
UGGUAGAUGCACCCUGAUAACUCACUCCUCUGGUUGAUAAAAUCGGUGGAGUUUUUUAUU